UAAGGGAUAGCCCAGAGAAAUUUGGAUUAAUACCUUAUAGUAUUAUUGAUUGGCAUCGAUUAAUAAUUAAAGUUUCGGCGGUAAAAGAUGAGUAUGCGUCCUAUUAGCUAGUAGGUAAGGUAACGGCUUACCUAGGCAACGAUAGGUAGGGGUCCUGAGAGGGAGAUCCCCCACACUGGUACUGAGACACGGACCAGACUCCUACGGGAGGCAGCAGUGAGGAAUAUUGGGCAAUGGAGGCAACUCUGACCCAGCCAUGCCGCGUGCAGGAAGACUGCCCUAUGGGUUGUAAACUGCUUUUAUAUAGGAAGAAACCCCAUCACGUGUGAUGGUCUGACGGUACUAUAUGAAUAAGCACCGGCUAACUCCGUGCCAGCAGCCGCGGUAAUACGGAGGGUGCAAGCGUUAUCCGGAAUCAUUGGGUUUAAAGGGUCCGUAGGCGGGCAAUUAAGUCAGAGGUGAAAUCCCACAGCUCAACUGUGGAACUGCCUUUGAUACUGGUUGUCUUGAGUUACAGUGAAGUAGAUAGAAUGUGUAGUGUAGCGGUGAAAUGCAUAGAUAUUACACAGAAUACCGAUUGCGAAGGCAGUCUACUAACUGUAUACUGACGCUAAUGGACGAAAGCGUGGGGAGCGAACGGGAUUAGAUACCCCGGUAGUCCACGCCGUAAACGAUGGUCACUAGUUGUUGGGUUUUCGGAUUCAGUGACUAAGCGAAAGUGAUAAGUGACCCACCUGG
This 738-nucleotide ribosomal RNA is filed under the name uncultured Bacteroidota bacterium. RNAcentral describes it as "bacterial SSU rRNA". It matches the Rfam family "Bacterial small subunit ribosomal RNA", at positions 137 to 876 of the family's 1533-position model. The record is from RNAcentral. Lineage: Bacteria; Pseudomonadati; Bacteroidota.